This 497-nucleotide ribosomal RNA is filed under the name uncultured bacterium. RNAcentral describes it as "partial 16S ribosomal RNA". It matches the Rfam family "Bacterial small subunit ribosomal RNA", at positions 899 to 1397 of the family's 1533-position model. The record is from RNAcentral.
ACUCAAAUGAAUUGACGGGGGCCCGCACAAGCGGCGGAGCAUGCGGAUUAAUUCGAUGCGACGCGAAGAACCUUACCUGGGUUUGACAUCAUCCAAAAACUGUCAGAGAUGGCAGGUCCUUCGGGGUGGGUGACAGGUGGUGCAUGGCUGUCGUCAGCUCGUGUCGUGAGAUGUUGGGUUAAGUCCCGCAACGAGCGCAACCCUCGUUCCAUGUUGCCAGCGGGUUAUGCCGGGGACUCAUGGGAGACUGCCGGGGUCAACUCGGAGGAAGGUGGGGAUGACGUCAAGUCAUCAUGCCCCUUAUGUCCAGGGCUUCACGCAUGCUACAAUGGCCGGUACAAUGGGCUGCGAUACUGUGAGGUGGAGCGAAUCCCAAAAAGCCGGUCUCAGUUCGGAUCGGGGUCUGCAACUCGACCCCGUGAAGUCGGAGUCGCUAGUAAUCGCAGAUCAGCAACGCUGCGGUGAAUACGUUCCCGGGCCUUGUACACACCGCCCGU